UCGGGAAUUUUGGGCAAUGGGGGAAACCCUGACCCAGCAACGCCGCGUGAAGGAUGAAGUAUUUCGGUAUGUAAACUUCGAAAGAAUAGGAAGAAUAAAUGACGGUACUAUUUAUAAGGUCCGGCUAACUACGUGCCAGCAGCCGCGGUAAUACGUAGGGACCAAGCGUUGUUCGGAUUUACUGGGCGUAAAGGGCGCGUAGGCGGCAUGACAAGUCACUUGUGAAAUCUCUGGGCUUAACCCAGAACGGCCAAGUGAUACUGUCGCGCUAGAGUGCAGAAGGGGCAAUCGGAAUUCUUGGUGUAGCGGUGAAAUGCGUAGAUAUCAAGAGGAACACCUGAGGUGAAGACGGGUUGCUGGGCUGACACUGACGCUGAGGCGCGAAAGCCAGGGGAGCAAACGGGAUUAGAUACCCUUGUAGUCCCUGAGCGGGCUGGCAAGGCGCAU
RNAcentral lists this ribosomal RNA (447 nucleotides) under uncultured bacterium. Its description in RNAcentral is "bacterial SSU rRNA". It matches the Rfam family "Bacterial small subunit ribosomal RNA", at positions 355 to 825 of the family's 1533-position model. The record is from RNAcentral.